This 1265-nucleotide long non-coding RNA is filed under the name Oryza sativa Indica Group (long-grained rice). RNAcentral describes it as "lncRNA OsZS97_07G010360". The record is from RNAcentral. Lineage: Eukaryota; Viridiplantae; Streptophyta; Magnoliopsida; Poales; Poaceae.
UUCUCCCGUGCUACUCGCUACUACCGCUCUCGAACCCCUUCCUGCCACACCCCCGCGCCGCCGAAUCUCCCUGACCUGCCACCAUCGCCGUGUCCUCCUCCUCCCCACCCACUGCCGCUGCAUCGCCUCCUCCUCAUUGCCUACGCGUCGUCCUCCUUCGCACUCACCGCUGCUGCAUCGCCUCCUCCACACGGCCUCCGCGUUGUCCUCCUCCUCACCCACCGCCGCCGCGUUCUCCUCCUCCCCAUCACCCGCCAUUGCCCCGCUGAUCUCCUCUCUCAGCGCCACCAUCAAUCCCGCGGCGGUCACCGUCCCCGAGUCCCCUUUGCCGGCUCAACCGUCGUCGUCAGAUCCACCGACGGGGUGAACUCGGCAACGGUGGUCCAGUGCUCGAUCGCUAACGCAUGUCGCGCCGUCUUGUCCACCACCGUUGCGACCUCCUCCUCCCCAACACCCCCGUGUUGCUGUGCCUCCCUGACCUGCCACCGCUACCGCCGCCGCAUCCGCCUCCCCAUCACCCACAGCGUCGUCCUUCGCCUCGCCGAUAUCCUCUCUCCCCGCUGCCAUCAAUCCCGUGAUGGCCACCGUCGCUGCCGUGCAGCCGUCGUCGUCAGAUCCUCCUCCACCGCCCCAACGCCGGUUGUGUCGUCCUGCCCACAACACCUGCGCACCCUCCGCCGCUUGAUAUUCCUGCGAGCUACCCAAACUUCAGACAGAGGCAGAGGAGCAGGACCACAUGAACUCCUUAAUAUAGAUGAUCAACAUGUCUCCAUAUCUAUCCAGGAUGUUGGUCAGAGGAGAUUUUGUUCUUUUAUUUACCAUUGAUUGGCCUCUAGUUGAUGUAUCUAAUUUCAUAUACUCCGUAAGCACAACAUGAACGUUCGUGGUACCUAAGUGGUCCUUAUGUGUACAUGGAUCAAUCUGCUGAUGAUAAAAAGAUUUUAGGCUGCUAUUAAAAAAAGUGUAACAGAUAUUGGCUUAUCGAUUCACUGUCAGUAAGCUUGGGAUUACAUUGGCUAAGUAUCAUUAAGUGUUCAAAUGAUCAUAAUAUAUAUCUGCAACUCUAAUUUAUUUAAAACUUCUAGGAGAAGUUGAGGAUCACACAUUCACAUAAAAGUGGCCAUUUCUUAUACAAUUGUAAGCACAAUGUUUUUAUGACCAAUAGCAUCGGAUGAUCAAAGUGCCUUUUAUCUCCAUUUUCCACAUUCUCUUGAACCUUGAGGUUUUUUUUUUCUGUCUAAUCCUUAAUUCAUACAACGUAGGAC